GCGGAUGUAGCUCAGCUGGCAGAGCGUCACUCUUCCAAAGUGAAUGUCGCGGGUUCGAUGCCCGCCGUCCGCU
RNAcentral lists this transfer RNA (73 nucleotides) under Mycobacteroides chelonae. Its description in RNAcentral is "tRNA-Gly". It matches the Rfam family "tRNA". Rfam says of the family: Transfer RNA (tRNA) molecules are approximately 80 nucleotides in length. Their secondary structure includes four short double-helical elements and three loops (D, anti-codon, and T loops). Lineage: Bacteria; Bacillati; Actinomycetota; Actinomycetes; Mycobacteriales; Mycobacteriaceae. The record is from RNAcentral.